CUCAUGUGUUGCCUGCUGGCGCGCGCGGGACUCAUGUGUUGCCUGGUGAUGCGCGCGGGGCUCAUUUUUUGCCUGGUGACACGCGUGGGGCUCAUGUGUUGCCUGGUGAUGCGCACAGGGCUCAUUUGUUGCGUGGUGACGCAUGCGGGGCUCAUGUAUUGCGUGGUGACGCGCUGUCUUAGAAUAGAAGGGAAAAUGUUUAAUACAAUGUAUGGUGUUCUGUAAUGUGUUGUGUCUUUUCUUUGUCUCUGCUUCAAAUUGACUGUUG
Pelobates cultripes (western spadefoot toad) is the source of this 268-nucleotide non-coding RNA. NCBI's taxonomy places the organism in Eukaryota, Metazoa, Chordata, Amphibia, Anura, Pelobatidae. The record is from the annotation of a GenBank genome assembly.